Molecule: ribosomal RNA, 442 nt
Filed under: uncultured bacterium
Lineage: Bacteria
Description: partial 16S ribosomal RNA
Rfam family: Bacterial small subunit ribosomal RNA
Source: RNAcentral
CCUACGGGUGGCAGCAGUGGGGAAUAUUGGGCAAUGGGCGCAAGCCUGACCCAGCAACGCCGCGUGAAGGAAGAAGGCUUUCGGGUUGUAAACUUCUUUUAAGAGGGAAGAGCAGAAGACGGUACCUCUUGAAUAAGCCACGGCUAACUACGUGCCAGCAGCCGCGGUAAUACGUAGGUGGCAAGCGUUGUCCGGAUUUACUGGGUGUAAAGGGCGUGUAGCCGGGCUGACAAGUCAGAUGUGAAAUUCCGGGGCUCAACCCCGGACCUGAAUUUGAAACUGUUGGUCUUGAGUAUCGGAGAGGCAGGCGAAAUUCCGAGUGUGGCGGGGAAAGGAGUAGAAAUUAGGAGGAACACCAGUGGCGAGGGGGGCCUGCUGGACGACAACUGAGGGUGAGGCGGGAAAGCGUGGGGAGCAAACAGGAUUAGAUACCCGAGUAGUC